GGCGGAUUAGCCAAGAUACUGAAUCGGG
Molecule: transfer RNA, 28 nt
Filed under: Stigmaphyllon ellipticum
Lineage: Eukaryota; Viridiplantae; Streptophyta; Magnoliopsida; Malpighiales; Malpighiaceae
Description: partial tRNA-His
Source: RNAcentral